GUGCUGCCUUUAAACCUGCCGCACCUGCCUGUGGCAUGGGGGGUUAAGCUGCAGCGUCAGAGCAAGUGCUGACGCAUAACUGGGGCUGCCAAGCCCUUUUAACCGUGAGUGACACGG
Molecule: small nucleolar RNA, 117 nt
Filed under: Echinops telfairi (small Madagascar hedgehog)
Lineage: Eukaryota; Metazoa; Chordata; Mammalia; Afrosoricida; Tenrecidae
Source: RNAcentral